UUUUUUUUUGAUUGCAAAAAAAAAUAAUGAAGCCAAAAAUAUCAGCACCAAAGCAUUAUAUGAGAAAACAAGUCUUACAAUAAUGAUGAAACCAUUUCUUAUUAAUAAUUGUCGAAACCGACUACAACUAAACACAAUGUGACAUCAAGCCACUUUACCUAGCGAGUUGCUCGGGUCUAAGCUCUUCAAAUGAGUAUUUCCCUCCAUGCAAUUUAAUAAGGAUCCUGCAGGAAUACAAACACAAGAUCAGAACGUUUUUAUAAAUAUUUUUUUUUUUUUAAUUUAAUGAAAAGAAGAACAAUAAAGUGUUUGUAUGUGAUUUUUUUUUA
This is a long non-coding RNA of Episyrphus balteatus (marmalade hoverfly), 329 nucleotides long. RefSeq lists it as uncharacterized. The transcript is spliced from 2 exons. The record is from RefSeq and is a predicted model, not a curated record. NCBI's taxonomy places the organism in Eukaryota, Metazoa, Arthropoda, Insecta, Diptera, Syrphidae.